Long non-coding RNA from Varanus komodoensis (Komodo dragon), 724 nucleotides. RefSeq lists it as uncharacterized. NCBI's taxonomy places the organism in Eukaryota, Metazoa, Chordata, Lepidosauria, Squamata, Varanidae. The transcript is spliced from 3 exons. The record is from RefSeq and is a predicted model, not a curated record.
ACAGGAGGGCAGAUCGCCCCGUGUGUUUCCUCUCAGAAAUGACAGUGUGGUUCUAUCCCCCUUUUCCGUGUCAGAGCGAGGACGCCACUUUGAUCACACAGGGAGGCUGGUGAACAGGCCUAAACGGAACCACGAGGAGUAUGCUGAACGAUGCCCUUGUCCAGGUCAGCCUGAGCCCCCAACGCAGAAGAAUCGCAGGCAUGAGUGUCCCUGUGACAGUUUCCCUUCUUCACAGCCAGAACAUUCCCAUCACCGUGGCAAGAACAAACAUCGGCAGAAUAAGAGAGCGAAGUGCCACAGGUUCUUGAAAAUCUGCAAACUUAGGAUGUUCCAGAUCCCUCUGUAGCUGUUCGCCCAACAAACUGUGGUUAAUCAUCUCUUGCAAGAGCAAACCCUUUGUGUAUGUUCCAGCCUUGAAAUCUAGAAGUAACAAACCUGGCAUGUGGAUUCCGCCCUCGCCGCAGUGCUCAAUUCGCCAUUUUCCCAACGCUCUAAAAUAGAUUUCAGUCCAAUUUAGCAUGUUUUCUUUGGCUUACGAAAGCAUGCUGCUUUUCUUUAAUGCAUCCUAAUAUAUAAAAUGUGUGUGGGCGUGGUCCCAUAGCCAAAAGUAUGUGAACUGAAAUAUUUGCUGGCAUGGGGAAUCAAUAAAGUGUAUAUCUAGUAUGGUUUCCAUGUAAGUGUCAAACCAAAUCAAAAGAAAGUCCAACGUAAUUAGAUACAGGAU